UCAAGGGGAAAGGAAUCAAACCUUCAUCACCAACUCCCAAAGCUGGCAUUUUCACUAAA
RNAcentral lists this transfer RNA (59 nucleotides) under Phylloscopus trochilus (Willow warbler). Its description in RNAcentral is "partial tRNA-Pro". RNAcentral also lists the same sequence under 1 other name. Lineage: Eukaryota; Metazoa; Chordata; Aves; Passeriformes; Phylloscopidae. The record is from RNAcentral.